This 465-nucleotide ribosomal RNA is filed under the name uncultured bacterium. RNAcentral's name for it is "partial 16S ribosomal RNA". It matches the Rfam family "Bacterial small subunit ribosomal RNA", at positions 28 to 507 of the family's 1533-position model. The record is from RNAcentral.
GAUGAACGCUGGCGGCGUGCUUAACACAUGCAAGUCGAACGGAAAGGCCCAAGCUUGCUUGGGUACUCGGGUGGCGAACGGGUGAGUAACACGUGGGUGAUCUGCCCUGCACUUCGGGAUAAGCCUGGGAAACUGGGUCUAAUACCGGAUAGGACCACAUUUUGGAUGGUGUGGUGGAAAGUUUUUCGGUGUGGGAUGAGCUCGCGGCCUAUCAGCUUGUUGGUGGGGUAAUGGCCUACCAAGGCGUCGACGGGUAGCCGGCCUGAGAGGGUGUACGGCCACAUUGGGACUGAGAUACGGCCCAGACUCCUACGGGAGGCAGCAGUGGGGAAUAUUGCACAAUGGGCGCAAGCCUGAUGCAGCGACGCCGCGUGGGGGAUGACGGCCUUCGGGUUGUAAACUCCUUUCGCUAGGGACGAAGCGCAAGUGACGGUACCUGGAGAAGAAGCACCGGCUAACUACGUG